This 492-nucleotide ribosomal RNA is filed under the name uncultured bacterium. RNAcentral describes it as "partial 16S ribosomal RNA". It matches the Rfam family "Bacterial small subunit ribosomal RNA", at positions 29 to 507 of the family's 1533-position model. The record is from RNAcentral.
AGUGAACGCUGGCGGUAGGCCUAACACAUGCGAGUCGAACGGCAGCACAGUAAGAGCUUGCUCUUACGGGUGGCGAGUGGCGGACGGGUGAGGAAUACAUCGGAAUCUACUUUUUCGUGGGGGAUAACGUAGGGAAACUUACGCUAAUACCGCAUACGACCUACGGGUGAAAGCAGGGGAUCUUCGGACCUUGCGCGAUUGAAUGAACCGAUGUCGGAUUAGCUAGUUGGCGGGGUAAAGGCCCACCAAGGCGACGAUCCGUAGCUGGUCUGAGAGGAUGAUCAGCCACACUGGAACUGAGACACGGUCCAGACUCCUACGGGAGGCAGCAGUGGGGAAUAUUGGACAAUGGGCGCAAGCCUGAUCCAGCCAUACCGCGUGGGUGAAGAAGGCCUUCGGGUUGUAAAGCCCUUUUGUUGGGAAAGAAAAGCAGCAGGUUAAUACCCCGCUGUUCUGACGGUACCCAAAGAAUAAGCACCGGCUAACUUCGUG